This 468-nucleotide ribosomal RNA is filed under the name uncultured bacterium. RNAcentral's name for it is "partial 16S ribosomal RNA". It matches the Rfam family "Bacterial small subunit ribosomal RNA", at positions 28 to 507 of the family's 1533-position model. The record is from RNAcentral.
GACGAACGCUGGCGGCGUGCUUAACACAUGCAAGUCGAACGGAAAGGCCCUGCUUUUGUGGGGUGCUCGAGUGGCGAACGGGUGAGUAACACGUGAGUAACCUGCCCUUGACUUUGGGAUAACUUCAGGAAACUGGGGCUAAUACCGGAUAGGAGCUCCUGCUGCAUGGUGGGGGUUGGAAAGUUUCGGCGGUUGGGGAUGGACUCGCGGCUUAUCAGCUUGUUGGUGGGGUAGUGGCUUACCAAGGCUUUGACGGGUAGCCGGCCUGAGAGGGUGACCGGCCACAUUGGGACUGAGAUAGGGCCCAGACUCCAACGGGAGGCAGCAGGGGGGAAUAUUGCACAAUGGGCGGAAGCCUGAUGCAGCAACGCCGCGUGCGGGAUGACGGCCUUCGGGUUGUAAACCGCUUUCGCCUGUGACGAAGCGUGAGUGACGGUAAUGGGUAAAGAAGCACCGGCUAACUACGUG